GAUGAACGCUGGCGGCGUGCCUAAUACAUGCCAAUAGAACGCUGAAGGAGGAGCUUGCUCUUCUGGAUGAGUUGCGAACGGGUGAGUAACGCGUAGGUAACCUGCCUGGUAGCGGGGGAUAACUAUUGGAAACGAUAGCUAAUACCGCAUGACAACAGUUAUUGCAUGAUAACUGUUUAAAAGGGGCAACUGCUCCACUACCAGAUGGACCUGCGUUGUAUUAGCUAGUUGGUGAGGUAACGGCUCACCAAGGCGACGAUACAUAGCCGACCUGAGAGGGGGAUCGGCCACACUGGGACUGAGACACGGCCCAGACUCCUACGGGAGGCAGCAGUAGGGAAUCUUCGGCAAUGGACGGAAGUCUGACCGAGCAACGCCGCGUGAGUGAAGAAGGUUUUCGGAUCGUAAAGCUCUGUUGUAAGAGAAGAACGAGUGUGAGAGUGGAAAGUUCACACUGUGACGGUAUCUUACCAGAAAGGGACGGCUAACUACGUG
This 495-nucleotide ribosomal RNA is filed under the name uncultured bacterium. Its description in RNAcentral is "partial 16S ribosomal RNA". It matches the Rfam family "Bacterial small subunit ribosomal RNA", at positions 28 to 507 of the family's 1533-position model. The record is from RNAcentral.